Molecule: ribosomal RNA, 210 nt
Filed under: uncultured bacterium
Lineage: Bacteria
Description: partial 16S ribosomal RNA
Rfam family: Bacterial small subunit ribosomal RNA
Source: RNAcentral
UACGUAGGUGGUUUGUCGCGUUGUUCGUGAAAACUCACAGCUCAACUGUGGGCGUGCGGGCGAUACGGGCAGACUAGAGUACUGCAGGGGAGACUGGAAUUCCUGGUGUAGCGGUGGAAUGCGCAGAUAUCAGGAGGAACACCGGUGGCGAAGGCGGGUCUCUGGGCAGUAACUGACGCUGGAGGAGCGAAAGCGUGGGGAGCGAACAGG